Molecule: non-coding RNA, 270 nt
Organism: Oryctolagus cuniculus (rabbit)
Lineage: Eukaryota; Metazoa; Chordata; Mammalia; Lagomorpha; Leporidae
Source: RefSeq, a predicted model, not a curated record
GUCUCUGCCAGGUGCACGGGGUCAGAGGAGACCCUGGCUUACAGAUGGGCUUCUGGAUUGGCAUCAGGGGCUUUGAAUUUUCAGGAUGCACCUGUGUCUCAGCUGGGACCAGGAAGGAGAAGCCAUGAUGGAAACAUGAAAAGUGAAAUUCUGCAUGGAGGGGCCAUAGCAAUCCCUUCAGUAUUCCCACAGCUGCUUUUGUGCACUGCCUGUGGCUGCUGCUGCUGUGAAUCCUCAUCUCCAUGGGGACAAGAAGCUUGAGUAAAAUGU